Molecule: small nuclear RNA, 145 nt
Filed under: Maylandia zebra (zebra mbuna)
Lineage: Eukaryota; Metazoa; Chordata; Actinopteri; Cichliformes; Cichlidae
Description: U2 spliceosomal RNA (ENSMZEG00005023087.1)
Rfam family: U2 spliceosomal RNA
About the family: U2 is a small nuclear RNA (snRNA) component of the spliceosome (involved in pre-mRNA splicing).
Source: RNAcentral
AUCUGUUCUUAUCAGUUUAAUAUCUGAUACGUCCCCUACCCGGGACCAUAUAUUAAAUUGAUUUUUGAGCAGGGAGAUGGAAUAGGGGCUUGCUCCGUCCACUCCACGCAUCGACCUGGUAUUGCAGUAUUUCUAGGAACGGUGC